Felis catus (domestic cat) is the source of this 85-nucleotide non-coding RNA. The record is from Rfam. Lineage: Eukaryota; Metazoa; Chordata; Mammalia; Carnivora; Felidae.
GCCUGGGUGGCUCAGUCGGUUGGGCAUCGGACUUUGGCUCAGGUCAUGAUCUCACUGUCCGCGGGUUCGAGCCCUGCAUCGGGCU